GUAUGAUUAGGAUAGCUGUUAAAUAAAUUUUACAGACUUUUGCAUGGUUGAACACGUGGAGAUCUUCUGGUCGUUGUUAGCUGUUCAUAUGGACACACUUUUAGCUGAACAGCCUCCAGAUACAUGGGAUUGUUUUCCAGUGAAGAUGGUAAUCAAUUAUAUUUUUAACCAUGUUUUUAUAUAUACAUCACAUGUUAAAAUUCAGUAGUUAACUUUCUUAAAAUUGAAAGAAUGCCUCUGUUCAACAUCAAAAUUUGUUAUUGGAGAAUGUUUAAAAUAAUAACAAGAUUUAAUGCAAUAUUUACACUAAUAAUCACAAAGAAAAAUGUUCUUAAAAGUAAUAUUAUUUACAAUACAUAAGGAAAUUAUUAUUAAGUGGAAAAAAUCUAAAAAAUGGCUAAAACAUGAAUAAUCCACCCACCCACUGCAUGUAUCUUCAGCAUCCUAAUGUUGCUUAUUAGUAUAUUAUGUGCAUUUUUCACUUAAGCACCACUUUUCUUCAGAAAACUUAUGCGGAGGGAGGUUCCAUCAACAACUUACAUUUGCUCUCCAAGUAGUCCGUUAUGUGGAUCUAAUGGAAUCAUCUAUUGCUCAAUCCCUUCAUAAAGGCUGUGAAAAAGAACGAUGGGAAUUCAAAGGCUUAAUUUGAAAGGUUUCCACUCACUGUACACCCUGUGGCAGAAUCGCAGCGACAUUGUUGCAGUACGUUAGAGUUUUUCCAGAAAGAAUUUUCUUUUGAAAAGCAUGGAUGCAUUACUUCUGAAGAUCUUUUUUGGAAACUAGAUGCAUUACAAUCUUUCAUCCGGGACCUGCAUUGGCCUGAUGAAGUUUUUGCCAAACAUUUGGAACAAAGAUUAAAACUCAUGGCAUGUGAUAUGUUGGUGUCUUAUAUUAACAGGCAUGGAAAUUCAGAAAGGUGGAAUUGCUUAAGGAAUUCCUUCAUUAAAGAGUUGAGGGACCAAACGGAGAAUCAUUCUUUUGAUGGUGGCAGACAUAGGAAGAAAAGCCCGUAUUUUUCAGAUCUGCUUUUUCUGAUAACCGUUUUAGCGUCGAAAACAAUAUCCAACAUUCCCAAUGGUGAAAAAGAGGAAAGAAAUGAUGACUCAUCAGAAAUACCAAUUUCCUCUGAGGGAAAAAAAAAGAAAGCUGGAGAUGGACACUUCUGAAAGGGCGGUAUAAGAAC
This is a non-coding RNA of Parasteatoda tepidariorum (common house spider), 1183 nucleotides long. The record is from RefSeq and is a predicted model, not a curated record. NCBI's taxonomy places the organism in Eukaryota, Metazoa, Arthropoda, Arachnida, Araneae, Theridiidae.